AUGGAACUGCUGCUCGUCAAGGCCACGCUCGAAAAUGCUGCCCGCAAGGAGAUCAGCGGUCCAGCCAUGGAGGAGUUGUUGCAGAGGCUGCGGGACUCGGCGCACAAUGCCCAGGACUUGCUCAACGAGCUGGACUACUUCCGCAUCCACGACCAGCUCCAUGGCACGUACAAUGCUGCCGACCAGCACGACAAGGGUGGCGUCCACGACCUCGCCCUCAAUGCUCGCCACACCGCCAAAGCUGUUGGCAAAUCGGUCAGCUGUUGCCCUUGGCAGCGUGCUAAGCGCCGACAGCAGAGAUCACGCGGCGAUUCCUCCCCGGCCCCGGCGCCAGAUGCCAAUCAGGAGGCCAGCGGAUGCAUGCCCAAGCUCGGUAACCUCCUCCCUUGCUCAUCUUCCCAAGAUCCACAUGUUCGUGAGGAAGAUUGUGGCAGUGUGCAAGAAACACCAAAGCUUGAGUUUAGCAGGGUUGAUUUCUCUCAAAAGAUCAAAGACAUCGUAGACAAACUACAGCCUGUGCGUAAAGAUGUUAAUGGCCUUCUGCAGAGUUGUGGCCCUAGAAGUGUCCCAAACAUUGCCCAGUGUCGUCCUGUCACCAGAGGUCGAAUUGAUGAGCCAAAACUAUAUGGUAGGGACCGUGUCAUGAAUAGCAUCAUACAUGACAUCACCAAGGGUCAAUACUGUGAUAAGGCUCUAACUGUGCUUCCGGUUGUUGGUUCGGGGGGCAUGGGGAAGACAACUCUCAUACAACACAUAUAUCGCAGCCAACAAGUACUGGACCAUUUUCCAGUCAUGAUUUGGAUAUGUGUCUCGCUCAAUUUCAGUCUAGAUAAGGUGCUAGAACAGAUUAAAACAUGUACCUCUGAAGUUGAAAAUGAAAAGAAGAGCAGUACAACCGAAGAGCUGAUUGAACAAAGAUUGAAAUCUAAAAGGUUCUUACUUGUAUUGGAUGAUAUAUGGCAGAUUAGCAAUGAGGAUGACUGGGGGAAAUUAUUGCUGACACUCAAUAAAUCACAAGAAAAUGGUUCCAUGAUACUCGUCACAACUCGGUUUCAAGCAAUAGUAGAGAAGGUUAAAGCAACUGGUCACUCAAUAAAACUGGAUGGUUUAGAAUCUGAAGACUUUAGAAAGUUAUUUCUUACAUUUGUCUUUGGUGACGAACAAUGUCCAAGGGAUAAACAUUUUCUGCUUGACACUGGAGAUAAGAUAAUGGAAAAACUAAAGGGCUCCCCUCUUGCAGCAAAAACGGUGGGUAGAUUACUGAGCAAAGACCUUAGUUUGGGUCAUUGGAAAAGGGUCCUAAAAAGUAAAGGAUGGGAGAAGCAGACUGAUGGCAAUGAAAUUAUGCCUGCCUUGAAGCUUAGCUAUGACUUUCUUCCUUUCCAUCUGCAACAAUGUUUUGCUUAUUCUGGAUUGUUUCCUGAAGAUUACAAUUUCAGAAGUGACGAGCUAAUCAGUCUAUGGAUCGGACUAGAUAUUUUGAUACCCAAUGGCCAAAACCAACCAUUUGAAGACAUAGGUCUGAGCAAUUUAAAUGAGUUACUCAUGCAUGGAUUUUUCAGAGAAGAGAAAACUGAGUAUGGUUUGCGUUAUGUUAUGCAUGAUUUGCUGCAUGAUUUGGCAUUGAAGGUUGCAUCUUAUGAUUGUCUUAGUUUUCGUCUCCCUAGUGUUGGAUCAGUACAGAUUCAGCCAACCACCCGUCACUUGUCAAUAAGCACAUGUGGUUUAGGUAAAUAUGAUGCAGUGUCUUGUAAAAAAUUGAAGAGUGAAUUGGAAGAACUAAAGACAAGAUUUAAAGUUGAAGAAUUGCAAACAUUGAUGUUAUUUGGACAAAUGGAUGAAGGCUUUGCCAAGAUAUUUGGUGAUUUUAUUGGGGAAGCGAACACUCUUCGUGUUCUCCAUUUGCCAAGCAUGCUUUGUCCCGUGGAGUUCAUGUUACAUAACUUUUCAGGACUACUCCACCUACGAUACCUCUGCCUAGGGAGAUAUGAGAGCCAGAUGCAUUUACCACUUGGCAUCUCCAAAUUUUAUCAUUUAAGGAUCCUAGAUCUUGAAAAGUGGCAUGGCAGUUGUGAUUUGCCUGAAGACAUGAGCAACCUUGCCAAACUAUGCCAUUUUUAUGUCCCAAAUGAUCAGCUUCAUUCUGAUAUUUAUAAUGUGGGGAAACUUAAACUCUUAGAAGAGUUGAAGGUAUUUCAAGUCAAUAAAAGAAGUGAAGGGUUUGAAACAAAGCAACUAGAGCACUUGACCAAGCUAAGGGAGCUUGGCAUCUACAACCUUGAGAAGAUAGAUACAGCAGAAGAAGCAACUCAAGCAAAACUGAUGGAGAAAAAUUACUUGAGGAGGUUAACAUUGGACUGGGAUAGUAAGCGAUCUAGUGUUGAGCCUGGUGUGGAAGCAACGGUUCUUGAGGGCCUUCAACCACAUGGAGAUCUUCAAGUGUUGUGCAUUAGAGGGCACGUAGGUCCUUCUUGUCCAACAUGGCUGGGUGAUGAGUUCGCUGUUGAAGGUCUACAAUCUCUUUAUCUGGAUGGUGUUUCUUGGGAAGUUUUCCCUUCUUUAGGGAAGGCAUGGGAUCUUCGUGAAUUAAGGUUUGAGCAUAUUGCCAGACUGAAGGAGUUUAUCAUAGAGAAAAGCUUUUGCGUGUUAACAAAGCUUAAACUCAUUGGCCUAGGAAGUUUUGAAAAAUGGGUUUAUCCAGCUGAACAAGAGUCUUCCAUUAGUGGAGAAUUGUUGCCACCGGAUGCUCAUAUGUUCCCUCUUUUGCAAGUUCUGGUUAUUAGAGAGUGCCCGAAAAUCUUGGGGUUGCCUUUCUCAAACCACAUUGUUUCCCCAGAUUGGUUCCCCAAGCUACAAGAGCUUGAGGUACAUGACUGUCCCAAAUUCUUGCCAGUGAUUCCCAUCUCCUGGAUCGAAAGUAAGCGUUCUGUCACUGUGAAAUGUGUAAAGAUGCUAAAGGAGUUUGCAUACUCAAAAUCAUCCACUGGAGCACAAUUGAAGAUUAUCGGAGAGAGUGAUCUGCUUAGCAUAGACCAAGUGCUGGUUUUUGAUAAAGAAACCGGAAGAGGUCAGAGUGAUGUGGAAUGGCAGCUCCCUGUUGAGUGUAUCAAGAUCGAUGGCUUAACUGGUAAUACUGGCGAGGAACUGACAGAGCUCCUUCCCCACCUCCCAAAGCUCUCCAAAUUGGAAAUACAGGAUUGUAAAAACAUAAAAAACCUGGUAGUGGGGGUGGAUGUGCAACAAACAGCACAAGAAUCAUCAGAGAUGGGGGGAGGUGAAAUAACAACAGCAGCAGCAGAGGAAGAGGAUGAUGGGGUGCUGCUCUUCCCCGCUCAUCUCCGUGACUCACUACGGGAAUUGGAUUUCCCUUUCUGCCCAGAGCUGGUCCUGGUGGACCCGCCAACUCUUGUUCCUGGUGGAGGAGGGCUCCAAGCCUUGCAAUCUCUCCAGUUUCUAGUGCUUUGGGAUGUGAAAGGCUUGAGGACACUGGAGCCCCUCUCAAACCUCUCCUCUCUCACCAGAUUAGAAUUGUGGAAUUGUGGAGAGGAUCUGAAAUGUCAGGGCUUGUGGUCUCUCCUUACCACCAGGGGCCAGCUCAACGAAUUAGAGGUCAUGCACAGCCCUAGAUUCUUUGCUGAUUGGGAUCCCAAUCCCAGACGUGCUUUGGAAGAUGCUGAGGGAGUUGAAGAGCAGCAGGCACAGCUUGUUUCAUCCACACUGCGUGAGCUUAAAACAAAUGACGUGGCAGGACUUCUUGCUGCACCUGUCUGCAGAUUCCUCUCUUCCUCCCUCACCAAGCUGGAACUUUGGGGGCAUUGGUGUGAAGGGAUGGAGCGGUUUAGCAAGGAGCAAGAGGACGCCCUUCAACUCCUCUCCUCCCUCCAGGAACUAGAGUUUUGGUCUUUCAAGGACCUUCAACAACUCCCUGCAGGGCUGCGUAACCUUACCAGCCUCAAGAUAUUAUCAGUCAAGUACUGUCCAGCCAUCUCGUCAUUGCCCAACGAUGGCCUCCCUGAUUCACUGCAAGAGCUAAAUGUCACAUGGUGCAACAACAGAGAGCUAAAACAGCAGUGCGGGGGGUUAGUGGGAACCAUCCCCAAAAUCAUAAUAGACUUGUGA
RNAcentral lists this ribosomal RNA (4119 nucleotides) under Triticum aestivum (bread wheat). Its description in RNAcentral is "partial small subunit ribosomal RNA". The record is from RNAcentral. Lineage: Eukaryota; Viridiplantae; Streptophyta; Magnoliopsida; Poales; Poaceae.